This is a long non-coding RNA of Felis catus (domestic cat), 813 nucleotides long. RefSeq lists it as uncharacterized. The transcript is spliced from 3 exons. Lineage: Eukaryota; Metazoa; Chordata; Mammalia; Carnivora; Felidae. The record is from RefSeq and is a predicted model, not a curated record.
CAAGAGAAUGAAAGCAGGCCAGAAACAGGAGAAACCCAGGGUCUAAGUGCUGGGCCACUGAGAGAUGGACACCUAGUGCUCAGUUCCAGAAGGAGGGGCUCCUACUCAGGUGUGAAUCCAGAUACAACAGGAGAAUUGAAAAAAUAAGUUAUGAUAUGAAGCAAAAUAGGAACCAGAGUCUCACUGUUGAAGAAAAGAGAUGCAAAUGUGGAAAAGGAGUGAAAUAUAAAGAAAACUUUGUGGUACUGAAUUGGAAUUGGAGGUAUUGAUGUGAUUCCAGUUAGAUAUAUAGGUUCCUCAUUAGCUUCAUUGGCCUGCGACCUGUUGUGGCAGAAGGCCCCACACUUAGAAGGGCUCUGUGUUUGGUUUGAUGCUCUGCCAUCCCUCUCUUGAAACUCUUCAUAUGAUUUAAAUGCUCAACUCUUCUCCUGUUCCAGUUAAAUUAUCAUCAUAUCCCUAUAUAGGCCAGUCCUGAAUUCAAGUCAACACAAUUAGCAUUGAUCUAACACAUACCUAAUGUCAUGUCCAGGAGACACAACACAAAAAAAGACACUGUUUCUGUCCAUGUAGCACUGGGCCCUACAAAGUAUAUAGCCGGUUCUGCUCACCUCUGAGUAUAUUAAUGGUACCUAUUAUGACCAGAGUGUUAUUGGGAAGAUUAAAUGAGCAAAUACAAGUAGAAAAGAGUGUCUGUGGCACAAAAACAGACACUCAGAUCAAUGGAACAGAAUAGAGAACCCAGAAAUGGACCCUCAAACAUAUGGCCAACUUAUCUAUGACAAAGCAGGAAAAAAUAUCCAAUGGAAUAAAGAC